GAUGAAGAACGCAGCGAAAUGCGAUAAGUAAUGUGAAUUGCAGAAUUCAGUGAAUCAUCGAAUCUUUGAACGCACCUUGCGCCCUUUGGCUAUUCCGAAGGGCAUGCCUGUUUGAGUAUCAUGAACACCUCAACUCUCAUGGUUCGCCAUGAUGAGCUUGGACUCUGGGGGUCUUGCUGGCCUAUGGUCAGCUCCUCUCAAAUAAAUCAGCUUGCCAGUGUUUGGUGGCAUCACAGGUGUGAUAACUAUCUACGCUUGUGGUUUUCCAUCAGGUAACCUUCAGUGAUGGAGGUUCGCUGGAGCUCAUAAAUGUCCCUCCUCAGCGAGGACAGCUUUUUGAACGUUUGAUCUCAAAUCAGGUAGGACUACCCGCUGAACUUAAGCAUAUCAAUAAGGGAGGA
RNAcentral lists this unclassified non-coding RNA (401 nucleotides) under soil metagenome. RNAcentral's name for it is "partial contains 5.8S ribosomal RNA, internal transcribed spacer 2, and large subunit ribosomal RNA". The stretch from base 1 to 121 matches the Rfam family "5.8S ribosomal RNA", at positions 35 to 154 of the family's 154-position model. The record is from RNAcentral.